UAAAGAAUAAGGAUCGGCUAACUCCGUGCCAGCAGCCGCGGUAAUACGGAGGAUCCGAGCGUUAUCCGGAAUCAUUGGGUUUAAAGGGUCCGUAGGCGGGCCAUUAAGUCAGGGGUGAAAGUCUGCGGCUCAACCGUAGAAUUGCCCUUGAUACUGGUGGUCUUGAGUUAUGGUGAAGUAACUAGAAUAUGUAGUGUAGCGGUGAAAUGCAUAGAUAUUACAUAGAAUACCGAUUGCGAAGGCAGGUUACUAACCAUAUACUGACGCUGAUGGACGAAAGCGUGGGGAGCGAACAGGAUUAGAUACCCUGGUAGUCCACGCCGUAAACGAUGGAUACUAGCUGUCCGGAUGCAAAUCUGGGCGGCCAAGCGAAAGUGAUAAGUAUCCCACCUGGGGAGUACGUCCGCAAGGAUGAAACUCAAAGGAAUUGACGGGGGCCCGCACAAGCGGUGGAGCAUGUGGUUUAAUUCGAUGACACGCGAGGAACCUUACCAGGGCUUAAAUGUGGUCUGACAGCUUUAGAGAUAGAGCCUCCUUCGGGCAGAUCACAAGGUGCUGCAUGGUUGUCGUCAGCUCGUGCCGUGAGGUGUCAGGUUAAGUCCUAUAACGAGCGCAACCCCUGCCGUUAGUUGCCAGCAUGUAAAGAUGGGGACUCUAACGGGACUGCCGGUGCAAACCGCGAGGAAGGUGGGGAUGACGUCAAAUCAUCACGGCCCUUACGUCCUGGGCCACACACGUGCUACAAUGGCCGGUACAGAGAGCAGCCACUGGGCAACCAGGAGCGAAUCUAUAAAACCGGUCACAGUUCGGAUCGGGGUCUGCAACUCGACCCCGUGAAGCUGGAAUCGCUAGUAAUCGGAUAUCAGCCAUGAUCCGGUGAAUACGUUCCCGGGCCUUGUACACACCGCCCGUCAAGCCAUGGAAGCCGGGAGUGCCUGAAGUCCGUCACCGCAAGGAGCGG
RNAcentral lists this ribosomal RNA (961 nucleotides) under uncultured bacterium. Its description in RNAcentral is "bacterial SSU rRNA". It matches the Rfam family "Bacterial small subunit ribosomal RNA", at positions 480 to 1455 of the family's 1533-position model. The record is from RNAcentral.